UUAUCCAUUGGUGUUUGGCCAAGUCUUCUGAGUAAUUUAGACAUAGUAGGCCUUCAAGAGAUGAAUUUCAUUCAGUCAGUUUAUCACUGCAGUCUCCGUAAGUUAUUUUUGUUUCAACACACACAUAUGCUACUCCAUUUAAGCUCUUUGUAAAACAGCUGUCUAAAUAUCUCACAUGGAAACCACUUCUUGGCAAAUAGAACAAGGCUGCUACAAACAGUUCCUGGGAGAACGAUACAUUUUGGUCGCCUGGGCAGGGGUGUGGUCAGAGGACCUCUUGCUCUUGGAGAGGAGAACACCUUCAAGAUUCAAGAUUCAAGGAGGAGGCGGACUAUGUUUCUAAUAAUCUUCCAUAUUCUCCUAACAUCGCCACUGUUCAAGUUCCCUGCAUUUUAGGGGUAAAGAAUCAUCUCUGUAAAAAUAUUGCAUGAAGAGUAACAGAUUAUGAAGCCAACUUUACCAUACUGUCUUGCUAUAUUCCUCCUUCUUUAGAUUACGAGCAAGCAGUUCACCCAGAGACCAAACAGUGGUAGUAUAAUGAGCUGUCCAGCUAACUGAAUAGUCCCACAUCUAAAGAAUUACAUGAAUUCUAAAGGAGGAAAGAGUCUACGAAGCCUAUCAACUGACCAAAGCAAUAAGCACAGGGCGAGCUUCGGACUGAAUAUGCAGUGGGCAAUACAAUGCAAGUUCAGCAAAACGGAGUGAGGAAACUUGCACAACACAUCAAUUUCAUUGGUUCGGUGAUGGAGUGAGCGUGCCGUUGUUUGCUAACCUAAAAAUGUAGGGACUCCAGAGAGGUAGAAAACUAGCAGGGCUCACUGGUGUCAGCUGCUUGAGAGAGGCCGUUCUCCUGGAAUGGCUUGUGUGAGGCCAUCAAGCAUACUCGUGGCCACCAUGACAGCUGCAGGACAAGAAAAUAGAUGGCCUUGUCUUUUCUCCAAGGGUUCUGCUGGAAGAUGCACAGAGCAACAAGAUGGAGGUGCUUGCUUCCCCAAAUGACCCCAUGGAGAAGAGGCGCCCCACCAGCCUAGACCAGCUGACUGCCACGUGAAAGAGGAAUGCAUUCUGUAUUAUUUAAGAUCUGGUGUCUUGGAGGUCCCUUCAUAAUUUAACUUAAUCUUCACCCUACUAUGUCUGUGAAUGAUAUGGUCAUAGAAGUUUCUUUUGUAAUAUAAAGCAA
Canis lupus familiaris (dog) is the source of this 1180-nucleotide long non-coding RNA. RefSeq lists it as uncharacterized. The record is from RefSeq and is a predicted model, not a curated record. The transcript has 7 exons. Lineage: Eukaryota; Metazoa; Chordata; Mammalia; Carnivora; Canidae.